UAAGGAAUAUUGGUCAAUGGGCGCAAGCCUGAACCAGCCAUGCCGCGUGCAGGAAGACGGUCCUAUGGAUUGUAAACUGCUUUUAUUUGGGAAUAAACCUCUUUACGUGUAGAGAGCUGAAGGUACCAAAUGAAUAAGCACCGGCUAACUCCGUGCCAGCAGCCGCGGUAAUACGGAGGGUGCAAGCGUUAUCCGGAUUCACUGGGUUUAAAGGGAGCGUAGGUGGGCUUGUAAGUCAGUGGUGAAAUCUCCGAGCUUAACUCGGAAACUGCCAUUGAUACUAUAGGUCUUGAAUUAUCUGGAGGUAAGCGGAAUAUGUCAUGUAGCGGUGAAAUGCUUAGAUAUGUCAUAGAACACCGAUAGCGAAGGCAGCUCACUAGGUCUGGAUUGACGCUCAGGGACGAAAGCGUGGGGAGCAAACA
This 422-nucleotide ribosomal RNA is filed under the name uncultured bacterium. RNAcentral's name for it is "bacterial SSU rRNA". It matches the Rfam family "Bacterial small subunit ribosomal RNA", at positions 355 to 774 of the family's 1533-position model. The record is from RNAcentral.